GUUUCAUUGUCCCCUAUGGGGCUGUGGGGGUCUCCAGUGGCCCCUAUAGGGGUUUCUGUAGUUCCCUAUGGGGCUGUGGGGGUCUCCGUGGUUCCCUAUGGGGCUGUGGGGGUCUCAUUGUCCCCUAUGGGGCUGUGGGGGUCUUCAUGGUCCCCUAUGGGGGUCUCAUUGUCCCCUAUGGAGGCCUCGUUGUCCCCUAUGGGGCUGUGGGGGUCUUCAUGGUCCCCUAUGGGGGUCUCAUUGUCCCCUAUGGAGGCCUCGUUGUCCCCUAUGGGGUUGUAGGGGUCCCCACUGGCCCCUAUAGGGGUCUCUGUGGUCCCCUAUGGGGCUGUGGGGGUCCCCACUGUCCUCUAUGGGGGUCUCAUUGUCCCCUAUGGGGGUCCCCAUUGUCCCCUCUGGGGCUGUGGGGGUCUCCAUGGUUCCCUAUGGGGGUCUCUGUUGUCCCCUAUGGGGCUGUGGGGGUCUCCAUGGUUCCCUAUAGGGGUCUCUGUUGUCCCCACUGUCCCCUAUGGGAGUCUCAUUGUCCCCUAUGGGGGUCCCCAUUGUCCCCUAUGGGGCUGUGGGGGUCCUCAUUGUCCCCAGUGGGGGUCUCGUUGUUCCCUAUGGGGGUCUCCGUGGUUCCCUAUGGGGCUGUGGGGGUCUUCGUGGUCCCCUAUGGGAGUCUCAUUGUCCCCUAUGGAGGCCUCGUUGUCCCCUAUGGGGCUGUGGGGGUCUCAUUGUCCCCUAUGGGGGCCUCGUUUUCCCCUAUGGGGGUCUCAUUGUCCCCUCUGGGGGCCUUGUUGUCCACUAUGGGGCUGUGGGGGUCUCCAUGGUUCCCUAUGGGGGUCUCUGUUGUCCGCUAUGGGGCUGUGGAGGUCUCCGUGGUCCCCUAUGGGGCUGUGGGGGUCUUCAU
Molecule: long non-coding RNA, 892 nt
Filed under: Gallus gallus (chicken)
Lineage: Eukaryota; Metazoa; Chordata; Aves; Galliformes; Phasianidae
Source: RNAcentral